CGGCCGGGAACUCAAAGGAGACUGCCAGUGAUAAACUGGAGGAAGGUGGGGAUGACGUCAAGUCAUCAUGCCCUUACGACCAGGGCUACACACGUGCUACAAUGGCAUAUACAAAGAGAAGCGACCUCGCGAGAGCAAGCGGACCUCAUAAAGUAUGUCGUAGUCCGGAUUGGAGUCUGCAACUCGACUCCAUGAAGUCGGAAUCGCUAGUAAUCGUAGAUCAGAAUGCUACGGUGAAUACGUUCCCGGGCCUUGUACACACCGCCCGUCACACCAUGGGAGUGGGUUGCAAAAGAAGUAGGUAGCUUAACCUUCGGGAGGGCGCUUACCACUUU
Molecule: ribosomal RNA, 335 nt
Filed under: Klebsiella pneumoniae
Lineage: Bacteria; Pseudomonadati; Pseudomonadota; Gammaproteobacteria; Enterobacterales; Enterobacteriaceae
Description: bacterial SSU rRNA
Rfam family: Bacterial small subunit ribosomal RNA
Source: RNAcentral